RNAcentral lists this ribosomal RNA (528 nucleotides) under uncultured bacterium. RNAcentral describes it as "bacterial SSU rRNA". It matches the Rfam family "Bacterial small subunit ribosomal RNA", at positions 8 to 518 of the family's 1533-position model. The record is from RNAcentral.
AGAGUUGAUCAUGGCUCAGGACGAACGCUGGCGGCGUGCUUAACACAUGCAAGUCGAACGAAGCCGUCCACCGAUACAGAGUACUCGGUACGAAGUAUCACCGGAAAGACUUAGUGGCGGACGGGUGGAGUAACGCGUGAGCAACCUGCCCAUAAGAGGGGGAUAACAGUUGGAAACGACUGCUAAUACCGCAUAAGACCACAUUACCGCGAUGGUAGAGGGGUCAAAGAACGGAAUCGCUUAUGGGAUGGGCUCGCGUCCCAUUAGGUAGUUGGCAGGAUAAAAGCCUACCAAGCCGACGAUGGGUAGCCGACCUGAGAGGGUGAUCGGCCACACUGGAACUGAGACACGGUCCAGACUCCUACGGGAGGCAGCAGUGGGGAAUAUUGGGCAAUGGGCGCAAGUCCCUGACCCAGCAACGCCGCGUGAGGGAAGAAGGCCUUCGGGUUGUAAACCUCUGUCCUAUGGGAAGAACGAAAUGACGGUACCAUAGGAGGAAGCUCCGGCUAACUACGUGCCAGCAGCAGC